This 732-nucleotide ribosomal RNA is filed under the name Salmonella enterica subsp. enterica serovar Amsterdam. Its description in RNAcentral is "bacterial LSU rRNA". It matches the Rfam family "Bacterial large subunit ribosomal RNA", at positions 944 to 1678 of the family's 2925-position model. Lineage: Bacteria; Pseudomonadati; Pseudomonadota; Gammaproteobacteria; Enterobacterales; Enterobacteriaceae. The record is from RNAcentral.
CCGAUGCAAACUGCCAAUAGCGGAAAUGUUAUCACGGGAGACACACUNUGGGUGCUAACGUCCGUCGUGAAGAGGGAAACAACCCAGACCGCCAGCUAAGGUCCCAAAGUCAUGGUUAAGUGGGAAACGAUGUGGGAAGGCCCAGACAGCCAGGAUGUUGGCUUAGAAGCAGCCAUCAUUUAAAGAAAGCGUAAUAGCUCACUGGUCGAGUCGGCCUGCGCGGAAGAUGUAACGGGGCUAAACCAUGCACCGAAGCUGCGGCAGCGACNCUUAUGCGUUGUUGGGUAGGGGAGCGUUCUGUAAGCCUGUGAAGGUGGCCUGUGAGGGUUGCUGGAGGUAUCAGAAGUGCGAAUGCUGACAUAAGUAACGAUAAAGCGGGUGAAAAGCCCGCUCGCCGGAAGACCAAGGGUUCCUGUCCAACGUUAAUCGGGGCAGGGUGAGUCGACCCCUAAGGCGAGGCCGAAAGGCGUANUCGAUGGGAAACGGGUUAAUAUUCCCGUACUUGGUGUUACUGCGAAGGGGGGACGGANAAAGCUAUGUUGGCCGGGCGACGGUUGUCCCGGUUUAAGCGUGUAGGCUGGUUUUCCAGGCAAAUCCGGAAAAUCAAGGCUGAGGCGUGACGACGAGGCACUACGGUGCUGAAGCAACAAAUGCCCUGCUUCCAGGAAAAGCCUCUAAGCAUCAGGUAACAUCAAAUCGUACCCCAAACCGACCAGGUGGUCAGGUAGAGAA